This 460-nucleotide ribosomal RNA is filed under the name uncultured bacterium. RNAcentral's name for it is "partial 16S ribosomal RNA". It matches the Rfam family "Bacterial small subunit ribosomal RNA", at positions 338 to 795 of the family's 1533-position model. The record is from RNAcentral.
CCUACGGGUGGCAGCAGUGAGGAAUAUUGGUCAAUGGUCGCGAGCCUGAACCAGCCAAGUAGCGUGAAGGAUGACUGCCCUACGUAUUGUCCACUUCUUUUAUAAAGGAAUACAGUGCUGUACGUGUGCCUUUAUGUCUGUACUUUAUGAAUAAGUCUCGGCUAACUCCGUGCCAUCAGCCGCGGUAAUACGGAGGUACCGAUCGUUAUCCGGAUUUAUUGGGUUGAAAGGGAGCGUAGAUGGGUUGUUAAGUCAGUUGUGAAAGUUUGCGGCUCAACCGUAAAAUUGCAAUUGAUACUGGCAGUCUUGAGUACAGUGGAAGUAGGCGGAAUUCGUGGUGUAGCGGUGAAAUGCUUAGAUAUCACGAAGAACUCCGAUUGCGAAGGCAGCUUACUAAACUGCCACUGACAUUGAUGCUCGAAAGUGUGGGUAUCAAACAGGAUUAGAGACCCGAGUAGUC